Molecule: small nuclear RNA, 190 nt
Organism: Callithrix jacchus (white-tufted-ear marmoset)
Lineage: Eukaryota; Metazoa; Chordata; Mammalia; Primates; Cebidae
Gene: U4
Rfam family: U4 spliceosomal RNA
About the family: U4 small nuclear RNA (U4 snRNA) is a component of the major U2-dependent spliceosome.
Source: Ensembl
AGCUUUUUGCAGUGGCAGCAUUGUAGCCAAUGAGGUUUAUCCAAUGCACGAUUAUUGCUAAUUGAAAAUUUUUCCCAAUACCCUGUUAUGAUGACUUGAAAUAUAGUCGGUCUUAGCGUGCUCAACUGCUGUACCGAAAAAGAAAAGAAAUAUAGUUGGCAAUGGCACUUUUCGACAGUCUCUACAGAGA